Amphimedon queenslandica is the source of this 483-nucleotide long non-coding RNA. RefSeq lists it as uncharacterized. The record is from RefSeq and is a predicted model, not a curated record. The transcript is spliced from 2 exons. Lineage: Eukaryota; Metazoa; Porifera; Demospongiae; Haplosclerida; Niphatidae.
UGCAGUUUUAGCUAAGAGGACCACUAAUUUUGACAGAUUACCUCUUGAAGGUGUUGCCUAGUCUCACCAUGUUUACAUUACUCAAUGCUCAAUAGAGUCUUAGUGAAUUAAAACAAAUAUUUAUUGAAAGAUCUUCUUCAGACUGACCACCAUUUCAUCAUGGAUAUCCGGAUUACCUCUUGGAGCUGUUGCCAUGGUUACAUUACUCAAUAUUACAUGUACAUUGUGUGAUACAUUGGAUUAUUAUUGUUACGUUGCUUUUAACUGUAUCCAGUAUCCACAUUUAGUGCCAUCUUCUGCUACUUGCACUAUUGCAAAUUAAUAAGAGGUUUGCAUGAAUACAGAACAGAAAAGUCAAGUUCAUAUGUGCCACUCAAAUUAUUAUAGAGUCAAAGAGGUUCCUAACUUUCUAUACAUGUCACUCAUCUCUGAGGCUUCCAGUACACAUAUUCUUUGAUGCAGAGAGAUGGGGUUGAUGGAAAA